AGCAGCCGCGGUAAUUCCAGCUCCAAUAGCGUAUAUUAAAGUUGUUGCAGUUAAAAAGCUCGUAGUUGAAUUUCGGGGUUAGUAGGUCGGUCGUGCCACUGGUAUGUACUGGCUUUACUGAUUCCUCCCUCUUGUAGAACCGUAAUGCCAUUAAUUUGGUGUUGCGGGGAAACAGGACUGUUACUUUGAAAAAAUUAGAGUGUUUAAAGCAGGCUAACGCUUGAAUACAUUAGCAUGGAAUAAUGAAAUAGGACGUCGGUCUUAUUUUGUUGGUUUCUAGGAUUGACGUAAUGAUUAAUAGGGAUAGUUGGGGGCAUUAGUAUUCAAUUGUCAGAGGUGAAAUUCUUGGAUUUAUUGAAGACUAACUACUGCGAAAGCAUUUGCCAAGGAUGUUUUCAUUAAUCAAGAACGAAAGUUAGGGGAUCGAAGACGAUCAGAUACCGUCGUAGUCUUAACCAUAAACUAUGCCGACUAGGGAUCGGAUGAUGUUAAUUUUUUAAUGUACUCAUUCGGCGCCUUUACGGGAACCUAAAGUGGUUUU
Molecule: ribosomal RNA, 541 nt
Filed under: uncultured fungus
Lineage: Eukaryota; Fungi
Description: SSU rRNA
Rfam family: Eukaryotic small subunit ribosomal RNA
Source: RNAcentral